CUGAGAAGACAAGCAAUCGCUUUCACUUCAGUGGAAGAGGAAAGUCUGGACUUCGCAGGAGAGGAUGCCAGUGAAAGACUGGGGGGCGCAAGCCUACGGAAAGUGCCACAGAAAAUAUUCCGCUAAAGCUUCGGCUUUAGACAGGUUGAAAUGCCAGCUUUAGGAGCAUGGCCUUACUUAGAGCAAUCUAAGGAGUGGUAAACCCCAUUCGAAGCAAGACGGAAAUGGAGCGAUACAGUUCUCCGCUGUGCUUCUCAAAAGUCGCUUGAGGGUUUUGGCGACAAGACCCCUAGAGGAAUGAUUGCUCGUCUGCUUCGGCAGAUUGACAGAAUCCGGCUUAUCGUCUUCUCAGAUUU
This 356-nucleotide RNase P RNA is filed under the name Parachlamydia sp. RNAcentral's name for it is "RNase P RNA component class A". It matches the Rfam family "Bacterial RNase P class A". Rfam says of the family: Ribonuclease P (RNase P) is a ubiquitous endoribonuclease, found in archaea, bacteria and eukarya as well as chloroplasts and mitochondria. Its best characterised activity is the generation of mature 5'-ends of tRNAs by cleaving the 5'-leader elements of precursor-tRNAs. The record is from RNAcentral. Lineage: Bacteria; Pseudomonadati; Chlamydiota; Chlamydiia; Parachlamydiales; Parachlamydiaceae.